GGGUCGGUCUUGCACGGCAAACCCUCCGAACCGUGUCAGGGGCGGAAGUCAGCAGCACUAAGGAGUUCCGUUUGGGUGUUGCGAGGGUGCCGGCUCGAA
RNAcentral lists this signal recognition particle RNA (99 nucleotides) under Chloroflexota bacterium. Its description in RNAcentral is "Chloroflexi bacterium signal recognition particle sRNA small type". It matches the Rfam family "Bacterial small signal recognition particle RNA". Rfam says of the family: The signal recognition particle (SRP) is a universally conserved ribonucleoprotein involved in the co-translational targeting of proteins to membranes. Archaeal SRP consists of a 7S RNA and homologues of the eukaryotic SRP19 and SRP54 proteins. In most bacteria, the SRP consists of a 4.5S RNA and the Ffh protein (a homologue of the eukaryotic SRP54 protein). The record is from RNAcentral. Lineage: Bacteria; Bacillati; Chloroflexota.